GAGAGAGAGAGAGAGAGAGAGAGAGAGAGAGAGAGAGAGAGAGAGAGAGAGAGAGAGAGAGAGAGAGAGAGAGAGAGAGAGAGAGAGAGAGAGAGAGAGUAUCUUUGCCUUAUAUAUUAAUGCUUUUAAUUUUGUAUGUGAAUAAGCAUUAGUUCCACUAUAAAAAUAUGAUUGGAAUGGGAGGAAGAUAAUGAAUGGCCUUGUCUGUCCCCUCCCUUCUUCCGCCCAUCCAGGCAGAUGAUCCUCAUUGUUAACCACUCACUAUGUUCAUUCAACAGUCCCCUCCCCGCCCGCUCCACCCCCCACCUCUGUCUCUCUCUCUCUCUCUCUCUCUCUCUCUCUCUCUCUCUCUUUUGCGGGAGGAGGAAAGGGAGGUAGCUACAUUUGGUUACUGUACGCUAGCUGGGGUGUGAGACAGGUAGCAGCAAGCUACAUAGUAUAUGACAAGUUUACUGUACAUUGUGAUAGGAAAAAAAUAUGUAACAGAGCUGCUAAGUUCCUGAAAAGACUCUAGAAUCAGCAAUAAAUGUAGAGCAACAUU
This is a long non-coding RNA of Portunus trituberculatus (swimming crab), 541 nucleotides long. RefSeq lists it as uncharacterized. The record is from RefSeq and is a predicted model, not a curated record. The transcript has 2 exons. NCBI's taxonomy places the organism in Eukaryota, Metazoa, Arthropoda, Malacostraca, Decapoda, Portunidae.